Molecule: long non-coding RNA, 2084 nt
Organism: Biomphalaria glabrata
Lineage: Eukaryota; Metazoa; Mollusca; Gastropoda; Planorbidae
Exons: 11
Source: RefSeq, a predicted model, not a curated record
CAAAUUUAAUCAAGAAACAAUCUAUGAUUUUACAAUGUAGAAUUUUAAUUGUGACAUCAUUGACAGAUCUUGAUAGAUCUACAAAGAGCGGCGAAAACUUUAUUCAAUUUGACUUGCGUGUCCGAAUGGUGUGGGUAUAGAAAAUGAAAUCUAGAUCCUUGUGAUUGUCAAAAGAGUUGAGCCGAAGCCUGCUUGAACAAACCGUUCUGUCUGAAAGAGGUCCAAGUCAAUGCCUAUGUAAGACAUUGCUGUUUCCGAUCGCAUGGACUAGAAUACAUGGCCGAAGGCCGAGCAAACCGGGAACACCCCGCCAUUUCCCUAUGUUUUACCAAGCUAACCGUGCAGGACUCGCCAUUAUUGUAACGGUUCCUUGAGGAACGGCACAUGGAUUAUCGACAGGGACGUGGAAACUUUCAACUCCGCACCGUGCAAUGGGAAAGCUCUCGCAUUCCCUUGGACACUCCCACAGGAGUUUUGUUUUGCUAUUCAUUUAGCCUAAUUACUUCCUUAAGUAAUCGUUUCCACCCAGUGUGCCACUUUGAGGCAGAAUAGCGUACCCUUGGAAAUCUAGAUCUACUUGUUUUAUAGCGCUCGUCAUUCUUUAUAUUGACCUAGGUCAGAUAGUAGUCUAGAUUAUGCUGACAAUAAAUGCGUAUUAUAGCCACGGGAAAUAUGCAUUCCUCGUUAAUCUUCGGACUCGAAGAGAAGCCUUAUUAUUGUAGAAGAAACAAUUAAUUGACUAGAUCUAGAAAAGUGAAGACUGUGUGUGGAAGUUUGCCAGAGGCAAGCUUUGGAUUUCUUUCAUAGAGCAAGGGACAACACUCUCAAUACCUUUUGAUAUCAUUCCAACACCUAUAGCUGUGGUGAGACUAUUUCGAGGUCUCAGGAAUGUAUUUCUUAUCAAUUGGUAAUCAUGCAUCACAUGCCCUCAGAUAUGUACACAAAAUGAAGUUUGAGGAGAAAGAGAAAGGAUCAAGAUGAUUUACAAGACACUAAAGUUAUCUAUCAACUAUACUCAAUGUAUGAAUGACUUGCAGCCAGACUAGAAUUAUAGAGAAAGAUGUUUUUCUGCUGGCUAAACAUGUAUGGAUUGUUUUGAGUUUUGCAAGUGCUGCUGUUGUCUAGGCAAUUCUGGCCAGUAGUUCCGGUUUUGGUUUCUUCAUCUGAGACAAAAACUCCAAGGGUCUGUUCCAUCACAUCCAGUCAAUAAAGGAAUAAUAUCUAUGAUGUCAGACAACAAUAAAGAUCCAUUUCUGUAGAAGAAGAUCUCACUACCAUGAACACUCUAGGGCUAGGGAGACAUGAACUACAUGAAGACAAUUUUGGGAUGGAGGAAACCACACAGAGACUUCAAUGGGGAACAAAAGUCAAAUGGAGUGUGUUCAAAGUUAGCAUUCAAUUCUUGUCACUCAAUUCUCCAUGAUAUGUUUACAGGGAGACUAAACAUUUUUGGACAUGAUGCCAGUAAAAUGAGAAAAUAGAGUGGAAGAGAGUCCAUAGUUUGUUUUGCUCCCGAUUCAAUAGAGAACAAAGUUAAGAUUAGCGAUGGAGAUAAAAGGAAUCUCUAAAACAAUAAUUCUUAUCAAAAUCCAACAAUCUCUAUUCAAACUAUUAAUCUAAGCAGUAACAUGACAACUAAGUUGAAGAUAAUUACUUCCUAGUCCAAACCUCCCGCAGGACGACGGGGGAUGGGAGCUGGCAGGGUUUGAACCCUGGACCAUCGAUAAAUCUGAACGACAGUCCAGCGUGCAAACCGCAUGACCAGGCAGCCAGCUCACGUGAGGACAGUUUUCAACACUAGAGUUACAGUACUAGUCCUCGGUGGAAUCAAGGAGUCAUUAAAGAAUCUUUCUGGAAGAUCAAAUCAAUACAAGCACUGAACAGCAGACAGGAAUGGAAAAUAUGGCCAAUAGAUCUUGUGUGGUGCCCCAAUGGUCAAACAACUAAGGGAUAGAUAAUGAUGCAGAGAAUUUCCUGGUGAUCAAGAAUUAGGAGCUGCACACAGUUUAAUGAAACUAUAUUUUAGGAACAGAUAGAAAACAAAGAACUGCAGCAAAGAUGGCCUGUUUUUAUUCUUCUUCAUG